Anas platyrhynchos (mallard) is the source of this 2700-nucleotide long non-coding RNA. RefSeq lists it as uncharacterized. NCBI's taxonomy places the organism in Eukaryota, Metazoa, Chordata, Aves, Anseriformes, Anatidae. The record is from RefSeq and is a predicted model, not a curated record.
GCCCCCUGGGGACAGAAAAUGCUUUACCUUUGGCUGCUAUAAACUUGGCUGCAGCCCCAAGCUGCUGUUUAGGAAGCUCGGGAAUGAGCACGAGGAGGUAAAGGUGCGCAGGAGCCAGCCAGGCAGGAUGGCCACUCACUGAGAUGAGGCUCAGAUCAUGCCCUCAGGUACACCUCCAUCUGCUGCUUUUCUUUUUUAUUCUUUAUGGAUGUUACAAUAAUUCUUCAGACCUGGGACAAAGCAGUUCCAGAUGCUCAGACACCGCGACCUACCAGAGGUGCAGAAGACUCACUCCAGCAGAAGCACACCAUGGGCGGGGGACACUGCUUACUGGCCCAGGGAUGAAGAGGAGAUGCACUUCUGGGGCCUGGGGUGGUUGGUGUCCCAAACCUGCAAGGGGUCCUGCGAGCAGCGAGACCACUGAAGUGGCACUCAGUUAUCUCAGAGGUUCCUGGCCAGCUGGAUGCCCAGUAGCCCCUGGACAAGACAAUUGCUUAUUGACUCUGUUCUGCAGGGGUACGCCGUGUUACAUUAUCCUCCUGUCUUCUUGCUGCAGUGCCAGAAUCUCUCCGCACUCUUCCUAGCCUCUUGAUCUCCAGCAUCAGCAGGACUUAAACAAGACAAGUACAAAUGGAUGGAAACUCUUGGGGUGCCAGGAGCUGUUGAAUUUAGCAAUGCUUCAUCAGGCUGCCAGAGAGACCGGACACGUAUUUACUGUGAGUUACUUUGAUGCUUCAGCUGGCCUUGAAGAGCCGGAACUGCUGCUUGUCUGAUGCUAGGGAAUAACCUUAAACUGUUUUUGGUGUUUUGUAUUUUUUUUUUUUUUUCAAAUCACCAAAUGUGACAAAAAUGUAUUUACAGCAGAGAACUCCACUUUUACUGCCUUUGACUUGAUUUUCUCCUACCCCUGUCCCUCUUUCUGUUUAUAGUUACUCCUCAUGACUCAGUUUUCCUUCCUCCCUCUGCGUUCUCCCCCCAGCUACCCUUCGACUGCUGGGAAUUUCUUAGAAAUGUUACACUACCAGCAUUCACCUUUGUUCGGAGAAAAAGGAGCACAAGAACAUUAGCUUGGAAGCAGAAUGACAUCUCUGAGGAAUGACACCAGCUUUGGACAUCGAAUAAAACUGAAGAGGGGCAAAUCUGAGGGGAGAAGGCCCGCAGGGCAUCUAAUCAGUCCAAGGGCAUUUAGCAUGUAAAUGAGGUUGUUUUGGCAAAAUAUGCCCUCGUGUGGAAUAUGCCACUGAUCAGUAGGGGCUGCAGAAGAGCAAGUACUUGAAAAUAUGGGCUCCUCUUGGGUGCAAAAGCUGUGCCACUUUCACAGCUGAUGGUGGUGGUAUCCUUCUAACAGCCCUUGGAGGGAAACAAAUCAUGAUUUUGUGCUGGCUUUUGUAGACACACACAGGAAACAGGAACAGAUAUCAUGGGAAAGCUUGCAGAGACAGCACAAAAAAUAUGGAUGUAGCUCCUGAAGUCUACAGCCACGGCGGUGGUGCUCAGCUGGGCUUCAGGAGGGUGUUCUGUGGUGUUUUAAUGUCCUCUCAGCCUUGCAAAGCCUAUAGCUCCCCUCCUCUGUGCUGCAGCUGGGAGUUUCAGGUCAGGUUCCCCAGCCAGGACUAUUUGCACAGUCGCUUUGCUUUGCUGGCCGUCAGGGGUCUGCACAGACCGCCUCAGCAGCACAGGCACGGCGGGACGGGUGCUUCACAGAGCGCUGGAGCUGCACGCCGCACGGAUUUGGGAAGCUCAAGUGCCCAGAAAUCCUGGGCAAAUGUACAAGAUCCUUGCAGUCUGCCAGAACAACAUUUCCAGGUGGAGAAGGACAUGUCUGAGAAAUGCGAACAUGUGACGGACUCUUCCAAAUGGGUUUCAUGGCAUACCACUCAUAAUUCAGAGCUUUUCGCAGAAACACAAAGGCAGACAAGGCACAUGUCCUAGCUCUUUCAAGCUUUUUUUUUUUUUUUUUUUCCCUUUCUCAUUUUUCUUCGGGGAUUACAAGAGGUGGAGGUUUAGAUUGAUUUGUUUUUCUUUUCUGGAGCAAGUGUUUGGGGAUUUCACUUUUCAGAGGAACUUCUGCUAUGUGGAGAAAGGUCAGAAUUUGUGUGUGUGUGUGUUGUUUUUCCAGUUCCCAGGGCCGCUGGAGACAGGUCUACACUGAGCUGUGGUGGCUCCAGAAAGAUGCUGCCUAGAGCAGAGCUCCAGCAGAGGAGGGCUCCCAGGAAGGACAUUUUCCUCCUCCCACUAACUGGACAAUGUAUACUUACAGCGACACUACUGGAAGAGACGGCAGCAUCCCUAGUGCUCAUGGCAGUGGCUGCUUCAGAUUUUCAGGGCACCAAGGGCGGCUUCUCCCUCAGCACUGAUGGGCACAUCAGCACCUUUCCAGAAGUGCCGAUACAGGUGAAAGAAAUGGUUCUCCCAAGGGCACCCAGAAUGCUGGGGACAAAACACCAACUAGUGCCUGGUGUCCCCAGAUCACCACCGACCUAUUUUCUCUCCAGUGUACAAGGUACCAUUGCUCUCCCUUAUUGCAACUUCUUCUUCCACUUGCUGAAAGUGCAGCCACGCCAAAGCAUGCCUGGCUGGGUACCCCAGGUUGCAGGGACUCUAAAUCACACCUAGCCCCAUGGGCAGGUAGCACAGAUCCCCUUCCCUGACUGGAUUUGUUCUCCUGCAGGGCUUGGGCUCCCUCUUAUCAAUAUUUGA